CACCUUGAUCUUUUCAUUCAUUUCUAAUAUCUCUUGAUCUCUCUAUAAAUACCAACUUUAAAGUGUAGUGCUUCCCAUCCUCUCAGGCUUGAUUGAAGCUAUUAACACCCACAAAUAUCUUAUCAUCAAUCAAUUAGAAAUAAUGCCCUUCCUGAGUGCCUUGAAAUUGAUGUCAUUUUCUACUGUGCUAAUAAUAUUUUUAUGCCUCAUGUCCUCCAACUUCGCUGCUGCAGGCCUUAACCCUGCGGACUAUAAACUCGGGCGAAAGCUUUUCCAGGGAUCCGAAUAUCCACAAUCAUAUGGCCCAUAUGGUGGUGGCGGAGGAUAUGUUCCAUCAAACAACGGUUAUCCAUGAUUGGAAAAAUAACCAAUGGCCCGUAGCCAUGCAUCCAGUUUACUCCCCCAUACUUAGCUAAUAUAAACAAAUAAAUUGAACAUGUCACAAUUUGAGAUAUAAUAACCCCAAUCAUUAUGUUUCGUGCGUGUUUGUAUUAGAAUUGUAAUAAACGGGUUUGUUUUCUUUGAAA
Molecule: long non-coding RNA, 527 nt
Organism: Arachis stenosperma
Lineage: Eukaryota; Viridiplantae; Streptophyta; Magnoliopsida; Fabales; Fabaceae
Exons: 2
Source: RefSeq, a predicted model, not a curated record